RNAcentral lists this ribosomal RNA (468 nucleotides) under uncultured bacterium. RNAcentral's name for it is "partial 16S ribosomal RNA". It matches the Rfam family "Bacterial small subunit ribosomal RNA", at positions 28 to 507 of the family's 1533-position model. The record is from RNAcentral.
GAUGAACGCUGGCGGCGUGCCUAACACAUGCAAGUCGAACGGAAAGGCCCUGCUUUUGUGGGGUGCUCGAGUGGCGAACGGGUGAGUAACACGUGUGUAUCCUGCCCUUGUCUUUGGGAUAACUUCAGGUAACUGGGGCUAAUAUCGGAUAGGAGCUCCUGCUGCAUGGUGGGGGUUGGAAAGUUUCGGCGGUUGGGGAUGGACUAGCGGCUUAUCAGCUUGUUGGUGGGGUAGUGGUUGACCAAGGCUUUGACGGGUAGGCGGCCUGGGAGCGUGAACGGGCACAAGAGGACUAAGGGAGGGAGCAGACGCGAACGGUAGGCAAUGGGGGGAAGUAUUACACAGUGAGCCGGAGCCUGAUACGACAGCCCUGCGUUCGUGAAGACGUGUUGUUGGUUAUGAACAGCUGUCGCCUGAGACGAAGCGGUAGUGACGGUAAUGAAUAAAUAAGCACCGGCUAACUACGUG